CCUACGGGUGGCAGCAGUGAGGAAUAUUGGUCAAUGGGCGGGAGCCUGAACCAGCCAAGUCGCGUGAGGGAAGAAGGUACUGAGUAUUGUAAACCUCUUUUGCCAGGGGACAAAGGCGGCCACGGGUGGCCGUAAGAGGGUACCUGGAGAAAAAGCAUCGGCUAACUCCGUGCCAGCAGCCGCGGUAAUACGUAGGGUGCGAGCGUUAAUCGGAAUUACUGGGCGUAAAGGGUGCGCAGGCGGUUGAGUAAGACAGAUGUGAAAUCCCCGAGCUUAACUCGGGAAUGGCAUAUGUGACUGCUCGACUAGAGUGUGUCAGAGGGAGGUGGAAUUCCACGUGUAGCAGUGAAAUGCGUAGAUAUGUGGAAGAACACCGAUGGCGAAGGCAGCCUCCUGGGACAUAACUGACGCUCAGGCACGAAAGCGUGGGGAGCAAACAGGAUUAGAUACCCUAGUAGUC
Molecule: ribosomal RNA, 460 nt
Filed under: uncultured bacterium
Lineage: Bacteria
Description: partial 16S ribosomal RNA
Rfam family: Bacterial small subunit ribosomal RNA
Source: RNAcentral